CACGCCGUAAACGAUGAUAACUAGCUGCCAGGGCUCUUAGAGCUUUGGUGGCGCAGCUAACGCAUUAAGUUAUCCGCCUGGGGAGUACGGUCGCAAGAUUAAAACUCAAAGGAAUUGACG
Molecule: ribosomal RNA, 120 nt
Filed under: uncultured bacterium
Lineage: Bacteria
Description: partial 16S ribosomal RNA
Rfam family: Bacterial small subunit ribosomal RNA
Source: RNAcentral